CUACACCGCCAGAAAAAGUCUAGAUACCAAACAGCAGCAUCAGUAAUCUCUAAAAGAUGCGGAGUCACAAGUUUCGGAAGUUUACAUGGAUCUGUAAAAUUGCUUUCAUGGGAAGAUGAACGCUGCCGGAUUAAAGAAUUAUACAAACACACACGCAAGAUGUUAGAAUCCUUUACUCCAAAAAUUGAGAGUUAGACAGAGCCAAAAUGAACUAAACUGCUCCACAACAGCUGCCCGUCCCUCCAGGACCCGUCGGUGACGUCAGGGGCCAUAAGCGCCGUCACACAGGAAGUGACCGAGAGAACCAAAAUUAGGUCAAAUGAAAUUUUCAACAUUGGAAUUUAGAAGAACUUCAAAUACAUCUUUAGCUUAUCAAGUCAUUCGGACGUUUACACUUCCGCCUCGCUUAACAUGACAAUCAAACAUUUAGAUGAUCUUCAGCUGUGACAGGAAUCUCGCUUUCUCUUAUGAUAGAAAGCUACGGCACUUUUCUCAAUUUAUAUAGCUGGUGGCAAUGAUCUUAAAAUGGAUGGUUGCUUAAUGCAAGCCUUUCUACAUUAGCGGUGGAAAAUUAUCUAUCAAAUACGGAUAUUCCUUAACCGGGAUUAUUGAGAAAUUAAUUUGGUAUUUCAUUCUUCUUUAACUUUAUCUACUGUAGUUCCAACUUUCAUUGUAUUCCUAAGACACUUUGACGUCAUACAUUUACAGUAAACAAAACUUGUCUUCUCAAUGAUAAGAGCAUACAUCAAGCAUUAUGUACGGAAAUGUAAUAAAACUGUUAUUCGUACUGAAAUGAUUGAUCGGAGGGUAUACAUCAACACCAAAGACUUACACAGAGCCUUUGUCUAACGAAAUGAUCUGCCAUUCGCGAAGUCGUAGUUUAAGGUCUAUGAAGUUUUGCCAAAUGUCGGUUAUCAGAGUGUGAAUUAAGCUGACCUCAUACCCUUUAAAGCAAUGAUAUUGAAAAGGACCUCACUUAUAUUCAGGAAGUCAUAUUUUACAGAAGAUCCAUUUUUAAUCUGAAAAGGACGCCGUUUACAAUGAAUGCUUAGUGCAACCCUUGCAAUAAAAUAAGUCAUGUCUGAACACAUAACUAGCUGAUUAUGCAAAUAGCAAAAACAAUAUUUAUGUUAUAUACGAUAUCUUAACUUUCGUUAUCAUAUUACUUUUGAGAUCUAGGCAGUCGGCAUCUGAAAUCAGUGACGCAAUACCAACUGUGGACAUUCAGAAAAUAAAACCGAAAUUCUUACUCAAAUUCGAUAAGACGAUGGCAAACUAUGAACAAGAUGAUUACCAUUGACCUCUUUGAACACGAAAUACAAGACCAGGAGUGCCAGUGGAUGAGCGUCCUCUGCCUUAUCAAUGACAACUGCAUUAAUAAUAGAUGUCGCAUUAUAGCGUCUUAUUUACGUUGAAAAAAAUAGUAAUUUGCGUAUACAUUUACCUGGGGGUGAUAUGCAAAUAUAUCAA
This is a long non-coding RNA of Pecten maximus, 1470 nucleotides long. RefSeq lists it as uncharacterized. NCBI's taxonomy places the organism in Eukaryota, Metazoa, Mollusca, Bivalvia, Pectinida, Pectinidae. The transcript is spliced from 2 exons. The record is from RefSeq and is a predicted model, not a curated record.